This 253-nucleotide ribosomal RNA is filed under the name uncultured bacterium. Its description in RNAcentral is "partial 16S ribosomal RNA". It matches the Rfam family "Bacterial small subunit ribosomal RNA", at positions 524 to 776 of the family's 1533-position model. The record is from RNAcentral.
UACGUAGGGCGCAAGCGUUAAUCGGAAUUACUGGGCGUAAAGCGUGCGCAGGCGGCUUUGUAAGUCUGUCGUUAAAGCCCCGGGCUCAACCUGGGAAUUGCGAUGGAGACUGCAAGGCUUGAAUCUGGCAGAGGGGGGUAGAAUUCCACGUGUAGCAGUGAAAUGCGUAGAGAUGUGGAGGAACACCGAUGGCGAAGGCAGCCCCCUGGGGCAAGAUUGACGCUCAGGCACGAAAGCGUGGGGAGCAAACAGG